Molecule: long non-coding RNA, 498 nt
Organism: Lontra canadensis (Northern American river otter)
Lineage: Eukaryota; Metazoa; Chordata; Mammalia; Carnivora; Mustelidae
Exons: 5
Source: RefSeq, a predicted model, not a curated record
AGCAUCUCAAUACUGGUUUUACUCCUCAACAGUCUAAGUUUGUUUUUUCACUUCACUACACCUGUUUUCAAGUACUAAGUGAAAUCACUCCUUAUCCUUGGGAGAAAAUGACACAAGAAAUGACAGUCAUGGAAUCUUCUGGAUGUGGGAACAGAAAUAGUUCUCAAAAUAAAUCGUGGUCAUACACAGGUAACUUCUUCUUGAGGUGACUUGGUGACGUCACAAGAUAGACCUCUACAGAAGACCAACCACGGACAGAGUCGAGUGAUGACACUUGCUCUCUGGCUGAAUUAUAGUAGAGGUUUUGCCCGCAUGCUGACGCCUCUGUGAACAUGGCCCAGAGCAGUGCUGCAGAAAGUGAGUGAGCGUGGGGAGAGAUUUUUCAGUAGAGAUUAAACAAAUGGAAUGGAGUGUGGCAAUAAGACCAGCCCUUUCACCUCAGUUCCUCUGACAACCAAGUGAGAGAGACUGCUGCUGAAAGGAGGAAUGAGAGCAGUA